RNAcentral lists this ribosomal RNA (253 nucleotides) under uncultured bacterium. Its description in RNAcentral is "partial 16S ribosomal RNA". It matches the Rfam family "Bacterial small subunit ribosomal RNA", at positions 524 to 776 of the family's 1533-position model. The record is from RNAcentral.
UACAGAGGGGGCAAGCGUUGUUCGGAAUUACUGGGCGUAAAGGGCGCGUAGGCGGCCCUCUAAGUCAGACGUGAAAUCCCUCGGCUCAACCGGGGAACUGCGUCUGAGACUGGAAGGCUUGAAUCCGGGAGAGGGAUGCAGAAUUCCAGGUGUAGCGGUGAAAUGCGUAGAUAUCUGGAGGAAUACCGGUGGCGAAGGCGGCAUCCUGGACCGGCAUUGACGCUGAACGGCGAAAGCUAGGGGAGCAAACAGG